Molecule: long non-coding RNA, 498 nt
Filed under: Physcomitrium patens
Lineage: Eukaryota; Viridiplantae; Streptophyta; Bryopsida; Funariales; Funariaceae
Description: long non-coding RNA (PPAT_LNC011404)
Source: RNAcentral
AUAAAACAAGCUAAGGUUCUUGAAUCUAAUAAUGCAAAGACUUUGUGAUUUUUAGGUCCUAAACACACAUCUAUUGUAAAAAAAGGUGAAGGAUUUGAAGAGAGAAUAGGACCUUUACUAGGUAUUGUACAUGAUUCCAACUGCUCGAUGUUAUAUUAUAUGUUAUGUGAAAAUAUUGUGUUUAUAUGUUUGAUAUACAAUUUACUAAGUAACAUAGUAAGAGUCAUAUUAGUAGAUUUUAAUUGAUUAUAGAAUGUAAUUAGAUUACUACUUUAAAAAGAUGUUGUUUAAAAGAACUACUUUUAUAAUUUACAUAACUUUAUUUUCUUUUGAUAGUGGCUUUUAAGAUUAAUUUUAGUUGAUAGUAAUUUUUACAUAUUUAAAGUUACCUUUAUUAGAUAUUGGUGAUCCUUGAAGUCUUAUUUUAUUUCUUUUAUUUGAUGUUUACGGCAUGUAUUAUAUCAAUCUUAUUAGAAAAAGGCUUGGAGAAGGGUCUUG